Molecule: long non-coding RNA, 852 nt
Filed under: Marmota monax (woodchuck)
Lineage: Eukaryota; Metazoa; Chordata; Mammalia; Rodentia; Sciuridae
Source: RNAcentral
AAAUGAUAGUCAGUAGUAAAUGACUAAUAAGCCCUUUUCCCCAACCUAUAAUUUCCACUGUUUAAGCAGUCCAAAGAAGUACCAGAAUACGAGAAAAGAGAAACUGCUUUCCAUAUAUGUAAGGAGGCUCUAUUUAUUUAGUCACUGGUGAUAUACAGUGGUAGUUUUCCCGUGAAGGAUAUUUAAUAGAAAUGUACAAGAGUAACAUUAACAGGUUAAAUCAUCAAGAGUUCCAUAAGCCACUGCAAACAUUUGUUACUAAAGGGCAUAGUUGUCUUCUCUGGUUGGUGUCAUUAAACAGAUGAUAAGCAUCACAAACCACCAACUGAGGCUGAUCAGUUACAUUUAUCUCAACUUAUAAAAACCCAUUACAUUUUUAUUGACUACUUCACUUAUUUUUCUGCUUAAUGCAUCCCGUAACAUUACUAUCUACACAAGUUCCUUCUCUGCUAAGUCUUCUUUCACAUGUUCAAAUUGAGUCUCUCGAGAAAUGCCUCCCCACUCUACUGAAGACAUCAUCUAUGCUAUCCUUCAGAUUGCAUGUUUCCUGAAUAAAGAAACACAAGGAGUUCCCCUUUCUUUACAGGGAAGCAUGCCUCCAACUGUCACACCCAAUCUCUUGGUCCAGGCAUGGCUAUGUUUUUGGAUUCUUUAUUCCAAGAAAUGCCUGGAACAACUAAAUGAAGAUUUUUAAUGAGAGGGAAAUCUCCUCUGUUCUUAGAGGAAAAGUGAAGAAUCCAAUCUCCUCAGGUUUACACAUACAACUGUUCGUACAUUGCAAUGCUCCUCACUUCAAGGUUCUCCACAAAAUACAGCAUUACUUGUCCUUGGCAUUCUUCAGCAUCCACAUGA